Molecule: ribosomal RNA, 468 nt
Filed under: uncultured bacterium
Lineage: Bacteria
Description: partial 16S ribosomal RNA
Rfam family: Bacterial small subunit ribosomal RNA
Source: RNAcentral
GACGAACGCUGGCGGCGUGCUUAAUACAUGCAAGUCGAACGGAAAGGCCCUGCUUUUGUGGGGUGCUCGAGUGGCGAACGGGUGAGUAACAUGUGAGUAACCUUCCCUUUACUUUGGGAUAACUUCAGGAAACUGGUGCUAAUACCUGAUAGGAGCUCCUGCUGCAUGGUGGGGUUUGGAAAGUUUAGGCGGUUGUGGAUGGACUGGCGGGUUAUCAGCUUGUUGGUGGGGUAGUGGCUUACCAAGGCUUUGACGGGUAGGCGGCCUGAGAGGGUGAACGGCCACAAUGGGACUGAGAUACGGCCCAGACGCGAACGGGAGGCAGCAGUGGGGAAUAUUGCACAAUGGGCGGAAGCCUGAUGCAGCAACGUCGCGUGCGGGAUGAAGGCCUUCGGGUUGUAAACCGCAUUAGCCUGUGACGAAGCGUGAGUGACGGUAAUGGGUAAAGAAGCACCGGCUAACUACGUG